Molecule: non-coding RNA, 1132 nt
Organism: Triticum urartu
Lineage: Eukaryota; Viridiplantae; Streptophyta; Magnoliopsida; Poales; Poaceae
Source: RefSeq, a predicted model, not a curated record
CGUUCCUCACGGCAUGUUCAGAGGCCGUCCCCACGCACGAAUGAAUCGGUUUCUCCGCAUAGCCGCCGCACAUCCCGCUCGUAGACGGGUAGCUUGGUGCGCCGUUUAGAUCAUCCCCACGCGGCGACCCCGAUCCAAAAGAGAAGCGGCAGUCCGCGACCUUGUUGUCACUCCUCCGCCAAGGUUCCGGCCGGUCGUGGCGCAUCCAAUCCGCGUGCCGGCCGGCCCUGUACGCCAUCAUCGGGAACUUCGUCGCCAAGGCGUGGAACGGCUCCGGCCUCUUCCCUGACCCCUGCGGCCAGACCGCCAUCCAGGAAUUAAUCAAUCCCCAGUUCAGUUCCUGCUCUACAUUUUCAUGUUUUGGGAUUCAGUAUAAAUCGUUGCUCACAAGGAUUGCUUGCACGUCUAAUUAAUGGAACUGCUGCUCUACACCAUACGUCGGAUACCCUACUGCCUUAGUCAGCGCCGCCGGCGACCUUCCCGCACACUAAAGGUAGGUGCAUACAUGUUGUGUAGGAGAUGAUGGCAGCAAACUUUCAGCUACAAGGGGUUUCGUGGAUGAUGGAAACAGUCCCGAUUGUGUGGGCAUAUGCAUAUGGUUCGUGUACAUAACAGUCUGAACUGGCCUUGCCAUCGAUCUAAUCUACAACUUUUGUAUCAUGCGCUGUUAGUGCAGGGCCUUGUUUCAACGGCGGCAUUUUGAGGUCAUGUACAUAUGAAGAUUGGAAAUAGUGUUGGUGAUGUGGAAACUGAUCUGAAUGGGAUGUAUUUGGGAUCAUACCAGGUUUCCCUGCUACUAUCUCUACAGAGAUGGGCGAGUGACGCCGCAGUUUCUUGUUCUUGCAGAUGCAUUAUUGGAUCAUUUCUUCUGACUAUAGCAAAUGCCUAAUCUUACGGUUAUAUGAGCAGCAUUGUUCUGAUGAACUAGGCCGUGUGGUUUUCCAUCCAUGUAGCUUGAUUGUAUUCUUCAAAUGUGGCAGAGUAACGAGUUGGCAUUUUUUUGUGGGUUUGUGUGUGUGUAUUGGGGGUUGUAUUGCUCGCCUUGUGGUUUACAGAAAUUUAGACGGGCGCAUGACCUUGUUGGGCGUUGUAUUGCUGGGGCUCCUGAAGAUUCAUAAAGUUGGGGUUGCUA